CCUACGGGUAGCAGCAGUGAGGAAUAUUGGUCAAUGGCCGAGAGGCUGAACCAGCCAAGUAGCGUGAGGGAAGACGGCCCUACGGGUUGUAAACCUCUUUUGUAGGGGAGCAAAGCGAGUCACGUGUGACUCAUUGAGAGUACCCGAAGAAAAAGCAUCGGCUAACGCCGUGCCAGCAGCCGCGGUAAUCCGGGGGUUGAGAGCGUUAUCCGGAUUUAUGGGGUUUACAGGGUGCGCAGGCGGAGGUGCAAGUCAGCGGUCAAAUUGCGGGGCUCAACCCCGUACUGCCGUUGAAACUGCAUCCCUUGAGUGCGCGAGAAGUAUGCGGAAUGCGUGGUGUAGCGGUGAAAUGCAUAGAUAUCACGCAGAACUCCGAUUGCGAAGGCAGCAUACCGGCGCGCAACUGACGCUCAUGCACGAAAGCGUGGGUAUCGAACAGGAUGAGAUACCCUUGUAGUC
RNAcentral lists this ribosomal RNA (459 nucleotides) under uncultured bacterium. RNAcentral's name for it is "partial 16S ribosomal RNA". It matches the Rfam family "Bacterial small subunit ribosomal RNA", at positions 338 to 795 of the family's 1533-position model. The record is from RNAcentral.